Molecule: non-coding RNA, 86 nt
Filed under: Moraxella cuniculi DSM 21768
Lineage: Bacteria; Pseudomonadati; Pseudomonadota; Gammaproteobacteria; Moraxellales; Moraxellaceae
Description: sRNA-Xcc1
Rfam family: sRNA-Xcc1
Source: Rfam by way of RNAcentral
GACGGGUUGAUAGGGGUAAAUAAAACACCUGCAAAGGAAAUAGCCCCAGCCGUCUUUGAGCGGUAGUUGAGACCCGUUGCCCUAUU